GAUCAUGGCUCAGAUUGAACGCUGGCGGCAGGCCUAACACAUGCAAGUCGAGCGGCAUCGGGAAGGUAGCUUGCUAUCUUUGCCGGCGAGCGGCGGACGGGUGAGUAAAGUCUGGGGAUCUGCCUGAUGGAGGGGGAUAACUACUGGAAACGGUAGCUAAUACCGCAUGAUGUUACGCGACCAAAGCGGGGGACCUCCGGGCCUCGCGCCAUCAGAUGAACCCAGAUGGGAUUAGCUAGUAGGAGAGGUAAUGGCUCCCCUAGGCGACGAUCCCUAGCUGGUCUGAGAGGAUAACCAGCCACACUGGAACUGAGAGACGGUCCAGACUCCUACGGGAGGCAGCAGUGGGGAAUAUUGCACAAUGGGCGCAAGCCUGAUGCAGCCAUUGCCGCGUUGUGUGAA
RNAcentral lists this ribosomal RNA (402 nucleotides) under symbiont type-X of Acyrthosiphon pisum. RNAcentral's name for it is "bacterial SSU rRNA". It matches the Rfam family "Bacterial small subunit ribosomal RNA", at positions 15 to 409 of the family's 1533-position model. The record is from RNAcentral. Lineage: Bacteria; Pseudomonadati; Pseudomonadota; Gammaproteobacteria; Enterobacterales; Enterobacteriaceae.